GCCCAGCUGAUGAGUCUCAAAUAGGACGAAACGUGCGUCCUAGAU
Molecule: non-coding RNA, 45 nt
Filed under: Schistosoma margrebowiei
Lineage: Eukaryota; Metazoa; Platyhelminthes; Trematoda; Strigeidida; Schistosomatidae
Source: RNAcentral